This 1004-nucleotide long non-coding RNA is filed under the name Ananas comosus (pineapple). RNAcentral's name for it is "long non-coding RNA (ACOM_LNC038824)". The record is from RNAcentral. Lineage: Eukaryota; Viridiplantae; Streptophyta; Magnoliopsida; Poales; Bromeliaceae.
GGACUAUUGGGGCGUUACAGAUAUUAAGUAUCCACCUCCUCUUCCACUACUCUUUUAUAUAUAGGGUUGUUGAUUGCUCUCUUUUUAGAAUGAUUUUGAUUUUUUUUCCAUACACAAAGCUAAUGCCUUCUAGUAGCUCCCGAUAGAGGAACUGGGGCAUAUUGCAACUCUAUAGUUCAAUCAAAUUGAUUCUUUUGAAAUCUAAAAAGAUGGUUUGUCCAACCAUUGGCGAUGACCCAUGUAACAAAACUUUUCCCCAUGCUUUAACCAACAUGAAUAAGUUGAAUUUCCACAACAAGGGCAAGCAACGCGCCUUUUAGUGCUCCAACCAGAUAGGUUGGCAUAUGCUGGGAAAUCGCUAAACGUCCAAAGAAGAGCUCCUCGCAAAUUAAAAUUUUGCUUGCUAAAAGCAUUAAAAGCUUCAACACCUUCCCAUAACUGUUUUCAUUCUUCUAUUAGAGGUUGCAAAUAAAUAUCAAUAUCAUUACCAGGACCUUUUUCACUAGGAAUUACUAUAGAUAAGAUAAAUAAUGAUCGUUUUAUGCACAACAAUGGUGGUAAUAUAUGGAAUCAACAGAAUUGGACAAGUGGUUAUAAGUGGAAUUCAUUGUUCGAAAUGAAUUAAAUCCAUCGCUAACGAGACCGAGCCUAACAUUGCGAGGAUCAAAAGCAAAAUCUGGAUAACGAGAGAAAUGAUUUCCAUACUAAGCCAUCUGUUGGGUGUCGUAAGUUUCCAUCUUUUGUGCGUCCCUCAAUAUGCCAUCUCAUAGAGGCAGCGAUCUUUGAUGACAUGUAAAGUUGUUUUAAUCGUGGAAUAAGAGGAAAAUAGCGCAAUACCUUGACUGCCUUUUCUUUACUGAGCAUAUUAUCCUUUUUACUCAAAAAGUUAGUGUCACAAUCUUUAUUUUUGACCCAUCAUGAAGAACCACAUACAUGACAAGAGUCUUGAUUCGCCCUUUCACCCCAAUACAACAUGCAAUCAUUGUUACAAGCAUGAAUCUUCU